Molecule: ribosomal RNA, 229 nt
Filed under: uncultured bacterium
Lineage: Bacteria
Description: partial 16S ribosomal RNA
Rfam family: Bacterial small subunit ribosomal RNA
Source: RNAcentral
UGCGCAGGCGGGCUUGUAAGUCAGUGGUGAAAUACUGCCGCUUAACGGUAGAACUGCCAUUGAUACUGCAAGUCUUGAGUAUGGUUGAGGUAGGCGGAAUGUGUUGUGUAGCGGUGAAAUGCAUAGAUAUGACACAGAACUCCAAUUGCGAAGGCAGCUUACUAAGCCAUUACUGACGCUGGGGCACGAAAGCGUGGGGAGCGAACAGGAUUAGAUACCCUGGUAGUCC